This 129-nucleotide unclassified non-coding RNA is filed under the name Aliivibrio wodanis. RNAcentral describes it as "putative sRNA". The record is from RNAcentral. Lineage: Bacteria; Pseudomonadati; Pseudomonadota; Gammaproteobacteria; Vibrionales; Vibrionaceae.
AGCGUUAAAUCCCGGGUGUUGAACAAGCCCGUAGCCACUUCUUUAUAGUAAAUUGUGCGAUCUUUUUGAAAUCUAGCUUAUAAAUCCUGGAUGUUUACCGAAAUUGUUUCUUCAUUCUCUCGUUCUGCG